RNAcentral lists this small nuclear RNA (82 nucleotides) under Colobus angolensis palliatus. Lineage: Eukaryota; Metazoa; Chordata; Mammalia; Primates; Cercopithecidae. The record is from RNAcentral.
GUGCUUGCCUUGGCAGCACGUAUACUAAAACUGGAACAAUACAGCGAAGACAAGCACGGCCUCUGUGCAAGGAUGACACACA